UACGUAGGGGGCAAGCGUUAUCCGGAUUUACUGGGUGUAAAGGGAGCGUAGACGGCAUUGCAAGUCCGGAGUGAAAGCCCACGGCCCAACCCCGGGACUGCUCUUGGAACUGCGUGGCUGGAGUGCAGGAGGGGCAGGCGGAAUUCCUGGUGUAGCGGUGAAAUGCGUAGAUAUCAGGAGGAACACCGGUGGCGAAGGCGGCCUGCUGGACUGCAACUGACGUUGAGGCCCGAAAGCGUGGGGAGCAAACAGG
Molecule: ribosomal RNA, 253 nt
Filed under: uncultured bacterium
Lineage: Bacteria
Description: partial 16S ribosomal RNA
Rfam family: Bacterial small subunit ribosomal RNA
Source: RNAcentral